This 425-nucleotide ribosomal RNA is filed under the name uncultured bacterium. Its description in RNAcentral is "partial 16S ribosomal RNA". It matches the Rfam family "Bacterial small subunit ribosomal RNA", at positions 354 to 796 of the family's 1533-position model. The record is from RNAcentral.
GUGGGGAAUCUUGCGCAAUGGGCGAAAGCCUGACGCAGCCAUGCCGCGUGAAUGAUGAAGGUCUUAGGAUUGUAAAAUUCUUUCACCGGGGACGAUAAUGACGGUACCCGGAGAAGAAGCUCCGGCUAACUUCGUGCCAGCAGCCGCGGUAAUACGAAGGGGGCUAGCGUUGCUCGGAAUUACUGGGCGUAAAGGGCGAGUAGGCGGACAGCUUAGUCAGAGGUGAAAGCCCAGGGCUCAACCUUGGAAUUGCCUUUGAUACUGGCUGUCUUGAGUUUGGGAGAGGUGAGUGGAACUCCGAGUGUAGAGGUGAAAUUCGUAGAUAUUCGGAAGAACACCAGUGGCGAAGGCGACUCACUGGCCCAAUACUGACGCUGAGGCGCGAAAGCGUGGGGAGCAAACAGGAUUAGAUACCCUGGUAGUCC